GGAAACAGAGGACUUCUCUGGAAGUCCUUUCCUGACCUGACUCUCCAGCCAGCGUCAAGAUCCCUUCUUCUCAGCCCCCACAGCUCUGUCUGUCCGGGCUGAUCUGGACUUAUUUACAGAACUGAGACAGUAGUAAUUAAUAAGGUUGUAGGGUAGCAUGGGAAGUAAUGAGCAUCCUGUUGGUCAAAGAGAACAAGAAUGAGGUAGUGAUCCUCAGACAAAGAGCCUUGUGGUGAGAGUGCACACAGGUGGGUGCACUCACUCCCCCCAGAGUCCAAGAGGCUUGAAGCCCUGAACCUUGAGCAGUAAAAGACUGUGGUGUAUGGCAAAGCAUAGUGCUGCGUGCUGUGCCAUGUCUUUCCUCUCUCUGAUCCCUGCUCCUCAUCCAUAAAACAGAGAUUACCGCACCUAACACACAAGGCACCAUUCUCUCCUUUGCAUUAUCCCCUUCUCAUUUUGAGCCAGACACAUGGAUGGAUACCUGGAAGAGAUUCCAUGUCCCAGUCUGCCUGACAGUGAAAUGCCGCCAAGUGACUGAGUUGUCGUCCAAGGGAUGUGGGCAGAAAUGACAGGUCUAAUUCUGUGCUUUUUCUCCUCACACAGUCCUGGGAUUCUGAGGGCUGGAGUGCUGAGCCACACUGGACUGCAGAUGAUGCCUAACAACAGUGGAAAAGAAGGGAAAGGGCCCCAGUCCUUCACAGCUCCCCGGAGCAGAGUGCCUGCCCCAGUGACCCUCGGAUCCCCCUUUACACGAGCCUGGGGAGACACCAUACUCACCAUGAUGACUUUCCUCAGAAACUGCCAGGCCCAAUUCUUGACAUCUCUUGGAGGAGGGGCCCUGAGAGAGGCAUGGGAGUCAGCGGCUAGAGGUCACCCAGAAAACAGGCUUCCCUGAAUGAACAAGUGGGCAGGAGCAAGCACCAGGCACUGCUGAGCCAUUCGCCUUGUUUCUUGCCACAAGAUAUAGACUAAUCUAUUUAGUUAGAAAAACAUGGUUUAUUGCAAUCUAAGUAAUUUGUAUUUCUUUUUCUACCACAAGAUGUAAACUAAUCUAGUUAGCUAGAGCAAGUUGGUUUAACUGAAUUCAGAGUAAUUACCCUCCAAAGCAAAGCGAUGUGUGUGUUUUUUUGGUUUGUUGAGCUUUUUUCUUUUCUUUUCUUUUUUUCCCUUUUCCAGCAUUCAAAGGUUAAGAUAUAUAUGUACUUAUGAUUCAAAUAAAACCCAGCCGUCUUUUGGUUUGCCGGGGCCUUGGCCUUACUGGAGGGUCUCUAUCAUUGCCACCUGGGAUUUCCCGAAAAUGUGCUGGGGGUGGCAAUGGAAAAUACAGUAUGCUGUGGUGGAAAAACAAUUUUUAACAACAUUUCCUGGGGCAGCGGAACACCAGCUCAUUGGGAGAGUAUUUACCAUAAGGUGGGAGAGCUAAGUGGGGGCAGCCCAAGGGCAGGGGCUACCUUGAGCCUCGCUUCGGUCACUGUAGGCUGAGGGUCUCCAAGGUGGCCGUGUGUGCUCCCAGCCUUGCACGAAAAUGGAAAUGCUAUUCCAUUUUCUGAAGCCCACCAUAUCCCUAAUCUUGCCACUUUUAUUCCUAUAGGACAAGGGGGGAAACUGAGUCUCAGAGGGACAAGAUGAUGGGUCUGUGGUCUUGAGGCUAGGAGACAGCCUAGGACCCGCAGCAUUCCCAAUCCCAGAAACCCACAUCCCUCCCCAUGGCACUGCCCAAGCUCUGGUGCCACAGAGUAGGCAUUCCUGGAGCACGUUUGCUGGAGUGAAUGGGAUCCCAUGGCAUGUACGGCCAGACCACCCUCUACUCACACACCUCCUGUGGCAGGCUACUGACCAGUUCUGAGGGUCUGGGAAGCUCCUGAUCAUGAGAAAGCUCUUUUUCACUUCAUCAUGACUGUUUCCC
RNAcentral lists this long non-coding RNA (1906 nucleotides) under Fukomys damarensis (Damara mole-rat). RNAcentral's name for it is "lncRNA (ENSFDAG00000030680.1)". The record is from RNAcentral. Lineage: Eukaryota; Metazoa; Chordata; Mammalia; Rodentia; Bathyergidae.